Molecule: ribosomal RNA, 1730 nt
Filed under: Escherichia coli
Lineage: Bacteria; Pseudomonadati; Pseudomonadota; Gammaproteobacteria; Enterobacterales; Enterobacteriaceae
Also listed under: 1 other name
Description: bacterial LSU rRNA
Rfam family: Bacterial large subunit ribosomal RNA
Source: RNAcentral
AUGCGUUGUUGGGUAGGGGAGCGUUCUGUAAGCCUGCGAAGGUGUGCUGUGAGGCAUGCUGGAGGUAUCAGAAGUGCGAAUGCUGACAUAAGUAACGAUAAAGCGGGUGAAAAGCCCGCUCGCCGGAAGACCAAGGGUUCCUGUCCAACGUUAAUCGGGGCAGGGUGAGUCGACCCCUAAGGCGAGGCCGAAAGGCGUAGUCGAUGGGAAACAGGUUAAUAUUCCUGUACUUGGUGUUACUGCGAAGGGGGGACGGAGAAGGCUAUGUUGGCCGGGCGACGGUUGUCCCGGUUUAAGCGUGUAGGCUGGUUUUCCAGGCAAAUCCGGAAAAUCAAGGCUGAGGCGUGAUGACGAGGCACUGCGGUGCUGAAGCAACAAAUGCCCUGCUUCCAGGAAAAGCCUCUAAGCAUCAGGUAACAUCAAAUCGUACCCCAAACCGACACAGGUGGUCAGGUAGAGAAUACCAAGGCGCUUGAGAGAACUCGGGUGAAGGAACUAGGCAAAAUGGUGCCGUAACUUCGGGAGAAGGCACGCUGAUAUGUAGGUGAAGUCCCUCGCGGAUGGAGCUGAAAUCAGUCGAAGAUACCAGCUGGCUGCAACUGUUUAUUAAAAACACAGCACUGUGCAAACACGAAAGUGGACGUAUACGGUGUGACGCCUGCCCGGUGCCGGAAGGUUAAUUGAUGGGGUUAGCGCAAGCGAAGCUCUUGAUCGAAGCCCCGGUAAACGGCGGCCGUAACUAUAACGGUCCUAAGGUAGCGAAAUUCCUUGUCGGGUAAGUUCCGACCUGCACGAAUGGCGUAAUGAUGGCCAGGCUGUCUCCACCCGAGACUCAGUGAAAUUGAACUCGCUGUGAAGAUGCAGUGUACCCGCGGCAAGACGGAAAGACCCCGUGAACCUUUACUAUAGCUUGACACUGAACAUUGAGCCUUGAUGUGUAGGAUAGGUGGGAGGCUUUGAAGUGUGGACGCCAGUCUGCAUGGAGCCGACCUUGAAAUACCACCCUUUAAUGUUUGAUGUUCUAACGUUGACCCGUAAUCCGGGUUGCGGACAGUGUCUGGUGGGUAGUUUGACUGGGGCGGUCUCCUCCUAAAGAGUAACGGAGGAGCACGAAGGUUGGCUAAUCCUGGUCGGACAUCAGGAGGUUAGUGCAAUGGCAUAAGCCAGCUUGACUGCGAGCGUGACGGCGCGAGCAGGUGCGAAAGCAGGUCAUAGUGAUCCGGUGGUUCUGAAUGGAAGGGCCAUCGCUCAACGGAUAAAAGGUACUCCGGGGAUAACAGGCUGAUACCGCCCAAGAGUUCAUAUCGACGGCGGUGUUUGGCACCUCGAUGUCGGCUCAUCACAUCCUGGGGCUGAAGUAGGUCCCAAGGGUAUGGCUGUUCGCCAUUUAAAGUGGUACGCGAGCUGGGUUUAGAACGUCGUGAGACAGUUCGGUCCCUAUCUGCCGUGGGCGCUGGAGAACUGAGGGGGGCUGCUCCUAGUACGAGAGGACCGGAGUGGACGCAUCACUGGUGUUCGGGUUGUCAUGCCAAUGGCACUGCCCGGUAGCUAAAUGCGGAAGAGAUAAGUGCUGAAAGCAUCUAAGCACGAAACUUGCCCCGAGAUGAGUUCUCCCUGACUCCUUGAGAGUCCUGAAGGAACGUUGAAGACGACGACGUUGAUAGGCCGGGUGUGUAAGCGCAGCGAUGCGUUGAGCUAACCGGUACUAAUGAACCGUGAGGCUUAACCUU